Molecule: ribosomal RNA, 260 nt
Filed under: uncultured prokaryote
Description: partial 16S ribosomal RNA
Rfam family: Bacterial small subunit ribosomal RNA
Source: RNAcentral
UACGUAGGGUGCGAGCGUUGUCCGGAAUUAUUGGGCGUAAAGAGCUCGUAGGUGGUUUGUCACGUCGUCUGUGAAAUUCCGGGGCUUAACCUCGGGCGUGCAGGCGAUACGGGCAAUACUUGAGUGCUGUAGGGGAGCCUGGAAUUCCUGGUGUAGCGGUGAAAUGCGCAGAUAUCAGGAGGAACACCAAUGGCGAAGACAGGUCUCUGGGCAGUUACUGACGCUGAGGAGCGAAAGCAUGGGUAGCGAACAGGAUUAGA